GUGUGCGCGAGUCAUUGGGCGUGAACCAUCGGCGCAAUCAAGGUGAAGGGAACUUCGGUUCUCCAGGGAGGAUGGGGGUCGCCGCGCGCUCUCGGGCGCGCGGUCCCUCGCACUCCCGCGGCGUCUCGUUCUCAUUGCGAGUUGAGGCGGACCUUGAGCGUUCACGUUGGGACCCGAAAGAUGGUGAACUAUGCCUGGCCAGGACGAAGCCAGGGGAAACCCUGGUGGAGGUCCGUAGCGGUUCUGACGUGCAAAUCGAUCGUCGGAGCUGGGUAUAGGGGCGAAAGACUAAUCGAACCAUCUAGUAGCUGGUUCCCUCCGAAGUUUCCCUCAGGAUAGCUGUUGCCCCAGUGAGACGAGUCUCAUCUGGUAAAGCGAAUGAUUAGAGGCCUUGGGGUCGAAACGACCUCAACCUAUUCUCAAACUUUAAAUGGAUGAGAACCCCGACUUGCUUGACAAGAGUGAAGUCGGGGCUCGGAUCGUGGUGACAAGUGGGCCAUUUUUGGUAAGCAGACGGGGCCC
This 522-nucleotide ribosomal RNA is filed under the name Rheumatobates crassifemur crassifemur. Its description in RNAcentral is "eukaryotic LSU rRNA". It matches the Rfam family "Eukaryotic large subunit ribosomal RNA", at positions 680 to 1156 of the family's 3401-position model. The record is from RNAcentral. Lineage: Eukaryota; Metazoa; Arthropoda; Insecta; Hemiptera; Gerridae.